This 335-nucleotide long non-coding RNA is filed under the name Ananas comosus (pineapple). RNAcentral describes it as "long non-coding RNA (ACOM_LNC002720)". The record is from RNAcentral. Lineage: Eukaryota; Viridiplantae; Streptophyta; Magnoliopsida; Poales; Bromeliaceae.
AAAACAUUUAAUAAUCCACUUUUUCUAGCACAGGGGUAAAAAAAAAUUUAAUGAUCGAUACUCGAGAUCUCAAAUUUGAAUUCUAAUUGAUUCAUAUUUUCAGCUAAGUCACGACUAUUUAAUAAUCCACUUUUUUUAGCACAAGGGGUAAAAAAAUAUUUAAUAAUCGAUACUCGAGAUCCCAAAUUUGAAUUCUAAUUGAUUCAUAUUUUCAGCUAAGUCACGACUACUUUAUCUUGUUAUAUAUAUAUAUAUAUAUAUAUAUAUUUAAAAUACUAAAAAUUUACGCACUCAUUUUUUUCACUCUAUGUUAUUUUAAUACUAAAAUCCAAAAA